RNAcentral lists this ribosomal RNA (414 nucleotides) under uncultured bacterium. RNAcentral's name for it is "bacterial SSU rRNA". It matches the Rfam family "Bacterial small subunit ribosomal RNA", at positions 28 to 431 of the family's 1533-position model. The record is from RNAcentral.
GAUGAACGCUGGCGGCGUGCCUAAUACAUGCAAGUCGAACGCGCAGCGAGAGGUGCUUGCACCUUUCAAGCGAGUGGCGAACGGGUGAGUAACACGUGGAUAACCUGCCUCAAGGCUGGGGAUAACAUUUGGAAACAGAUGCUAAUACCGAAUAAAACUUAGUAUCGCAUGAUAUCAAGUUAAAAGGCGCUACGGCGUCACCUAGAGAUGGAUCCGCGGUGCAUUAGUUAGUUGUGGGGUAAAGGCUUACCAAGACGAUGAUGCAUAGCCGAGUUGAGAGACUGAUCGGCCACAUUGGGACUGAGACACGGCCCAAACUCCUACGGGAGGCUGCAGUAGGGAAUCUUCCACAAUGGGCGCAAGCCUGACUGGAGCAACGCCGCGUGUGUGAUGAAGGCUUUCGGGUCGUAAAGC